AAUUGAAGAGUUUGAUCAUGGCUCAGAUUGAACGCUGGCGGCAGGCCUAACACAUGCAAGUCGAGCGGAAACGACUUAACUGAACCUUCGGGGAACGUUAAGGGCGUCGAGCGGCGGACGGGUGAGUAAUGCCUGGGAAUAUGCCUUAGUGUGGGGGAUAACUAUUGGAAACGAUAGCUAAUACCGCAUAAUGUCUUCGGACCAAAGAGGGGGACCUUCGGGCCUCUCGCGCUAAGAUUAGCCCAGGUGAGAUUAGCUAGUUGGUGAGGUAAGAGCUCACCAAGGCGACGAUCUCUAGCUGGUCUGAGAGGAUGAUCAGCCACACUGGAACUGAGACACGGUCCAGACUCCUACGGGAGGCAGCAGUGGGGAAUAUUGCACAAUGGGCGAAAGCCUGAUGCAGCCAUGCCGCGUGUAUGAAGAAGGCCUUCGGGUUGUAAAGUACUUUCAGUAGGGAGGAAG
RNAcentral lists this ribosomal RNA (462 nucleotides) under Aliivibrio fischeri SR5. RNAcentral describes it as "bacterial SSU rRNA". It matches the Rfam family "Bacterial small subunit ribosomal RNA", at positions 1 to 450 of the family's 1533-position model. Lineage: Bacteria; Pseudomonadati; Pseudomonadota; Gammaproteobacteria; Vibrionales; Vibrionaceae. The record is from RNAcentral.